CCAGGCCAGUCCGGGGGGCGGUGCAGAGGACACCCGGCGGGCUGCCUGGGGGUAGAGGGAGCCCCUGGUGUUUGUGGCAGCGCUGGGUCCGUUCGGCCGUGCGCCGCCCCAGCGGCUCCUGGUGCAGCUCCGCUGUUCCCCACCUGUGACCCUGGCAGGCCCCUCGCGGGCGGAUCCCCCAGUGGAACGUGCUGCUGCCGUGCCUCCUUGGCCUCCACGCAGCCCCCAGGCCCACCCCGUGCAGGGCCUGGCACCGAGCAGCUCCCUUCCAGGCAGGACCUCCCGGGGUGCCGGAGCCGCCUGCGGGGAGCGGCCCGUGUCAUCGGCCCCGGGAGCAGGGGCUGCGCGGGGCGCCCGAGCGUGGCCAGCGUUUUAUUUCUCAUAUUGUUUGCAGGUGGUGACUCAGCUGAAUCAUUCAGCAAAUCAAGACCCAAUCACCACCCACCGUGAAGAGCGUUUAAAGCUGGGCUGCUCUCAGGAGGCCCCCGGACGCAGCAUCAGUUCCACUUGGCCGGGGUCGAAUCGGGAAGAUUGGAGAGCGGCCCUGAAGACACGGUCCUCCUGGGGCCGGGCCUGCCCGGGACGGGGGCCGAGGGCUGCCCCGAGUUGGUCUGCCUGGCAUGGGUGGUAGCACCCCCCCGGAGUCAUCCAACAGCCCCGUCCCUGGAUGGUGUUUUGAAAACAACUUUAUGAAUUGAGCAUCACGGAUACAGCGAAAGCCCCCGUGUCGCCUCCCUCCUGACUCUGCCCCAACCCCCAGGUUGUCUCCAAACCGUGGAAGCGAGCGGCAACCCGAUGCACACCCCACCUCUGACUGGUUCCCACGUGCCCUCGAGGGGCUCUCGGGCGGAUCCAGAGGACGGAGCUGCUGGGGUUACGGGCGUCCGCGUCUGCAGCUCCAAACUUCUCCUGAUGGUCGAUGGUGGCGAUCAGGGCACAGGCCAGGGGCUCUCACACUGGGGUCCUCACCCCUCAGGGCUUCUGAGACCCUUCUAGGGGUCCCUGAGGUCAAAGCCAUCUUCGUAGGAGUGUGAGAUGUUCCAGCCUUUCUCAUCCUCUCACGAGUGCACCGUAGAAUUUUCCAGACCAGCGUGUGGUAAUGUCAUAGCUCUGAUGGCCAAAGGCACGUGUGCUUUGGUUGUGAUUGAAAUUAAACUUUGAGUAUAUAAUUUCGAAUAUGUAAAUGUUGGUAGACCAAACUCCAAGCCACAAAAGCUCUUCGAGGCCCUCAAUGGUUUUGAGUGUAAAGAAGUCCUGAGACCAAACAGCUCAGGACGUGGGACAGACCCACGGCCUGGACCCCAGGGCGGGGUCCAGGAUGUGGGACAGACCCACGGCCUGGACCCCAGGGCGGGGCCCGACGGGGCUGUGGCAGCUGCGUGGCUCCUCCCCACUUCCUGGGGCGCCGGUGGCACAGUGAUAGCACGCGUGGCUGCCGGAGAUGUGCUGACCGGCCCUGCUCGGGGGGCCCCCAGAGGACGUUCGUGCGCCUGGAAUUCUCGGCACUUCUCAGAACAGCCGCAGCCUGACCCCUCGGCCGCUGGGGGGCGCUGAAGGCGUGUCACAGACCUGACCUCUCUGAUCCUGUCCCGCUGGGCACACCGAGCGUCUGAGCAGGGAAUCCUUCUCGAGGCUUGGGGCGGGGCGGGGGGUGCAGAGGCAGGAAGUCAGGGAGCCUGGUGCUGGUCAGACUCUGCUCCCAAGAGCGACCUUUACCCGCCGAGUCUCAGGUGCAGACGCACGGAAAAGGAACACAGGACUUCUUUCCCUGGACCAUCUGAGAGCCACGGGCGACACGACGCCCAGCGGCACGGACGCUUUUUUGUGUAUUUCCCUCAAACGGACACUCCUCCUGCGUGACCACUACGCCAGCACUCGUGUCAGGAAAGCACAUGGAUACGACAGCACCGUCCAAGCCUCAGACCCCACACACGCUUUGCCGAUGGUCCCCGUCAUGUCCUUUAUGGCAAAAGAAUCUAGUUCAGGACCCCAGGCUGCCAGGUUGCUGCCGCUGUGAGGAACCUCUUCUCCUCAUCCAUUUGUUAUUUAUUUAUAUUUAUUUAUUAUUCAGAGGAAAACAGGGACCCUUUUGAAAGGGGGCACAAUCAUAAUUACACAGGGACCCUAGGUAUAAAGCAGGACUUUCCCCCAGAAAACUGGGAGGUGGGCUCACCUGUGACAUGCCCCUCCCCAACGCCAGCUGGCGCCCUGCUAAGGAGAGCACGCUGCCGCCCCUGCAAAGGGCACCCCUGCCCCCCAGCUCCAGAAGCCAGGCCUUGACGGGCCUCCUGACACCGCCCGCCCCUCACCUCCACAACCGUCCCGUCACCAGGUCCCGUGCAUUCUACUUCCAGCUAUGGCGUCGUCCACGCGACCACCGCACCCCUCCCAUCCCCUCUGCAGGCUGAAGCCAGAGGCUCUUUGAAAAUGCAGCUCCGAUUCUGUCCCUCUGUGCCCUCCCCGUCCCCGCCCCCAGCUCCCAGAGGCCCCGCCCUCCUCACCUGCCUUCCCUGGAGCCUACCUCCCUGGCUGGGCUCCAGCACCCUGGUCUGUGGGCCCCUGUGACUCUGAGCUUCCCAGCGCUAACCUGCCAGACACGGACGGAAGGAGAUGGCUCGUGGCUCUGAAUGUUUAUGGUUACUGAGUCAUCUUGUUUUACAGCCAUUGAGUUAAAUUCAUCAGGAAUUGUAUGGGCUAUUAUUUUGGCUCCAGCUGUGAACUCUAAUUCAGCUUGGCGACGUGGCCUGGGAACUUCCCACCCGACACCAGAAUCAGCGGCCGCCACGCGCUCGCCCUUCUCGCUGCCCCUCCCGCUGGGGCUCACCCGCCAGCAACAUCAACAACCCAAAGCCCUGGUCCGGGAAACAAAGUCUCAGUCAGGCGCUGUGUUUAGCCCUCACAGGCAUGACACCUGAUAUAUGGGUGUAAAAGACCCAGCUCGGGCUUCCCUGGUGGCACAGUGGUUAAGAAUCCUCCUGCGUGGGAAGCAGCCGCAUAGCACAGGGAGAUCAGCUCGGUGCUUUGUGACCGCCUGGAGGGGUGGGAUAGGGAGGGUGGGAGGGAGAUGCAAGAGGGAGGAGAUAUGGGGAUAUAUGUAUAUGUAUAACUGAUUCACUUUGUUGUAAAGCAGAAACUAACACACCAUUGUAAAGCAAUUAUACUCCAAUAAAGA
Molecule: long non-coding RNA, 3172 nt
Organism: Orcinus orca (killer whale)
Lineage: Eukaryota; Metazoa; Chordata; Mammalia; Artiodactyla; Delphinidae
Exons: 3
Source: RefSeq, a predicted model, not a curated record